This 498-nucleotide ribosomal RNA is filed under the name Triticum aestivum (bread wheat). Its description in RNAcentral is "partial small subunit ribosomal RNA". Lineage: Eukaryota; Viridiplantae; Streptophyta; Magnoliopsida; Poales; Poaceae. The record is from RNAcentral.
AUGGCCAUCACAGACGUAUCCGAGCCGGAUCCUGACAAGGUCAUCCCCGGUGCGGAUGGCGCUCCGCCACAACCCAUCCCGGAGUACAUCUCGUGGGUGACACGGGAUCAACACUGCCUCAGCUUCCUCCUCUCCACGCUCUCCAAUAACACACUCCUGCAGGUGCAAUUCUUGCCUCCCUCUGCAGCAGUUUGGGGCACUUUGGAGCGGACGUUUGUGACCCGAUCCAGGGCGCACAUCAUGCAGCUUCGUCGUCAACUAGCCACGAUCCAGAAGCGUGACAUGACUAUGGUGGACUACUUCACUAAGGUCAAGGGCCUCACUGACGCCCUUGCAGCCGCCGGCAAGCAGCUGGACAAGGAGGACAUCGUCAUCUAUCUCCUCACCGGCCUCGACUCGAGCUACGAUCCACUGGUGACCUCGGUCACCACGAGGGCCGAUGCGAUCUCCCUCAAUGAUCUCUACUCCCACAUGCUCGACUUCGAGAUCCGCCAUUAG